GAUGAACGCUGGCGGCGUGCCUAAUACAUGCAAGUCGAGCGAACGGACGAGAAGCUUGCUUCUCUGAUGUUAGCGGCGGACGGGUGAGUAACACGUGGAUAACCUACCUAUAAGACUGGGAUAACUUCGGGAAACCGGAGCUAAUACCGGAUAAUAUUUUGAACCGCAUGGUUCAAAAGUGAAAGACGGUCUUGCUGUCACUUAUAGAUGGAUCCGCGCUGCAUUAGCUAGUUGGUAAGGUAACGGCUUACCAAGGCAACGAUGCAUAGCCGACCUGAGAGGGUGGUCGGCCACACUGGAACUGAGACACGGUCCAGACUCCUACGGGAGGUAGCAGUAGGGAAUCUUCCGCAAUGGGCGAAAGCCUGACGGAGCAACGCCGCGUGAGUGGUGAAGGUCUUCGGAUCGUAAAACUCUGUUAUUAGGGAAGAACAUAUGUGUAAGUAACUGUGCACAUCUUGACGGUACCUAAUCAGAAAGCCACGGCUAACUACGUG
RNAcentral lists this ribosomal RNA (497 nucleotides) under uncultured bacterium. Its description in RNAcentral is "partial 16S ribosomal RNA". It matches the Rfam family "Bacterial small subunit ribosomal RNA", at positions 28 to 507 of the family's 1533-position model. The record is from RNAcentral.